UCCGUAGGCGGGCGUCUAAGUCAGUGGUGAAAUCUUACAGCUCAACUGUAAAAUUGCCAUUGAUACUGGAUGUCUUGAAUUAGUGUGAAGUGGUUAGAAUGUGUAGUGUAGCGGUGAAAUGCAUAGAUAUUACACAGAAUACCAAUUGCGAAGGCAGAUCACUAACACUAUAUUGACGCUGAGGGACGAAAGCGUGGGGAGCGAACAGGAUUGGAUACCCUAGUAGUCC
This 229-nucleotide ribosomal RNA is filed under the name uncultured bacterium. RNAcentral describes it as "partial 16S ribosomal RNA". It matches the Rfam family "Bacterial small subunit ribosomal RNA", at positions 568 to 796 of the family's 1533-position model. The record is from RNAcentral.